This 253-nucleotide ribosomal RNA is filed under the name uncultured bacterium. RNAcentral describes it as "partial 16S ribosomal RNA". It matches the Rfam family "Bacterial small subunit ribosomal RNA", at positions 524 to 776 of the family's 1533-position model. The record is from RNAcentral.
UACAGAGGGUGCGAGCGUUGUUCGGAAUUACUGGGCGUAAAGCGCGCGUAGGCGGCUUUGCAAGUCGGGUGUGAAAUCCCCAGGCUUAACCUGGGAACUGCAUUCGAGACUGCAUUGCUAGAGUAUGGGAGAGGGAAGUGGAAUUUCCGGUGUAGCGGUGAAAUGCGUAGAUAUCGGAAGGAACAUCAGUGGCGAAAGCGACUUCCUGGACCAAUACUGACGCUCAUGUGCGAAAGCGUGGGGAGCAAACAGG